AACAAAACGAAGAAAAAGAAAAGAAGUGAUAGCUCCUUUGUAGCGGAAAGUGAGAGAAGGGUAUCUGUUUUGUUUUGAUAAGAGCGACUUUGUAGCUUGAGUGCGUGCAGGUUCGUAAGUUUUCUCCUUUCUGCUGCUAUUGCUUUUGUUAGUUUUUGUGUGGUUUUGGUUUUUGAUUGGGUUUUUGGUUGUCGAUGGUUUUGAAUUUCUAUGGGUUUUUGAUUGGGUCUUUUGUUGUCGGUGGUUUUGAAUUUCUAUGGGUUUUUGAUUGGGUCAUUUGCUGUGAGGAAGAAGAAGUCCUGUGCUAGCUGCUAUAUCCUUUCAGUAUAUAAGCGAAUCGAGUUUCAGCUUCGCUGUUCUGUGUGAUCAAAUUUUGCCAUCGAUGUCAACGAUCGUGAAAGCUUGGUGAGAUUUCGAUUUGGUACCAACACACUCUUAAAAUAACGGAACAGUCGCAUAGAUGAUGGUAUUUAUGAAAGAAACCCAGAACAUUGAAUUAAAGUCAAUGUUGUAUCUGCAAGAGCUUACCACUCCCUCUUUAUGCAUAACAUGGCAAGCAUUACUCCUAGAACUGUGUUGAUCAUUCUGGCUGGAACGUUCAGAGGCAAUACAGUUAUCCUUUUGAAGCACGUAAAUUGCACUGAAGGAACAAGGGCAAUAACGUCAGUGAGCCAAAUUCAUAUGUGAAGGAAGUAGGAGUUUCAAAAUUGAAGCUGAAGCAGCAGAGGAUAAGGGGUCAAGGCACAUCAUGAUAAUUGGUUUUGUUUAUUAUGCUCACUGUUUAGGUCUGAUGUAGUAUUGUGAAUGAAGUAUUGUUGGGAGGUGUUUUGUAAAGUUUCGAAAUUUCAAUGUUCAGGUGUGCAGAUUUUGCAAUUCAUGAUGAGCAUGGAGGUUGAUUAGCUGCAGAAUAUGCUAAGAAGGAUUUGCAUAUAUAUGUACUUUCAGUUGCAUUACCAUGAAUGAUGUAACUGUCUUCGCAUGCACAUUAGUAGAUAACGGAUCAAUUUUCUUGAUAUCUGACUUACUGCAUUCCUGCAAUCUGUUCGAGUCUAAUUGGAUUCUGUGGUGCUGCAGUUGAUUGAGAAAGCAGCCGAGAAAGCCAUUUUGCAUGGUACAAAUUUAUUAUGGGCUAUGGCUGGUUACUUCUUAUGAAUUAGCAAACCUAAAGCAUUUUUAGCUGAUAAAUAAGUGGAUGGUGCACUUUGAUUAGCAACUCAGCUUCGACAUAUUUCGAUAGCUUAUGCAAUGACCAUAAAAUGAUGCUCCUACAAGAUCUACAGAGAUUGGAAGCAGUUCUAUAUGUUUCAAGAGUACAUCAACACAAUUAAUGAUCUGUAAAAGUUCUGUAUCAAUGUUCGCGCCUCACAGGAUUGUAGUUACAAUUGCCACUGAUUUUGGAGUGAAACCUACUUUUGCUCUUUGGGUUAAACAUAAACAUACUACCAUGUAAUAUUAAAAGAUCAAUUGUAUUACAACUUUAACUAUCAUAUAACAAUGAUUCCCGCAGCAAAGCGCGGGCUCACUUCCUAGUAA
This is a long non-coding RNA of Rosa chinensis, 1533 nucleotides long. RefSeq lists it as uncharacterized. NCBI's taxonomy places the organism in Eukaryota, Viridiplantae, Streptophyta, Magnoliopsida, Rosales, Rosaceae. The transcript has 6 exons. The record is from RefSeq and is a predicted model, not a curated record.